CCUACGGGAGGCAGCAGUGGGGAAUAUUGCACAAUGGGCGAAAGCCUGAUGCAGCGACGCCGCGUGAGGGAUGACGGCCUUCGGGUUGUAAACCUCUUUCGUGAGAGAAACGGUAGGAGCAGAAGAAGCACCGGCUAACUACGUGCCAGCAGCCGCGGUAAUACGUAGGGUGCAAGCGUUGUCCGGAAUUAUUGGGCGUAAAGAGCUCGUAGGCGGUGUGUCGCGUCUGCUGUGAAAACUCAGGGCUCAACUCUGAGCUUGCAGUGGGUACGGGCACACUAGAGUGCUGUAGGGGAGACUGGAAUUCCUGGUGUAGCGGUGAAAUGCGCAGAUAUCAGGAGGAACACCGGUGGCGAAGGCGGGUCUCUGGGCAGUACUGACGCUGAGGAGCGAAAGCAUGGGGAGCGAACAGGAUUAGAUACCCUUGUAGUC
RNAcentral lists this ribosomal RNA (432 nucleotides) under uncultured bacterium. RNAcentral describes it as "partial 16S ribosomal RNA". It matches the Rfam family "Bacterial small subunit ribosomal RNA", at positions 338 to 795 of the family's 1533-position model. The record is from RNAcentral.